Molecule: long non-coding RNA, 474 nt
Organism: Syngnathus acus (greater pipefish)
Lineage: Eukaryota; Metazoa; Chordata; Actinopteri; Syngnathiformes; Syngnathidae
Exons: 3
Source: RefSeq, a predicted model, not a curated record
CGAUCGCCCGGCUCCAUCAAGUGGCUGAACUUGGGCUUGCUGAAGAACUCCUGCAGUGCGAGAGGCCUGCGGAAAGAAGGCGCGACGUCAUUUGUUUCCUCGCACGUUGUGAGGUUAUAUCUGAUGUGUCUCACUGAAGCGGGGUGAAGUCCAAGCCGUAGGGUUUUUCCCAGAAGGCCAUUUUCUCGGCGUAGUAUCUGUGAGCUUGGCAAGGCACCAAGGUGAGAGCUGCGGACGAGGGCCACAUCGUGCCACCUUCCCUCAGCCAGCGGUCCCUGGCCAGCAGGACGGACUCCACCAUGAACUCAAACUAGACCGAAAAGAAAGGAGAUAAGUGUCUACAGGGGUGCUGUGUUCUCUCACCACUGCCGGUUGUGCCAGCUGAGCGCAGAACAGACUCAUGAUGCCCGUCCCGCAGCCGAGGUCCAUCACCACCUUCCUGUGCAGAGAAGUGCUGUUGUUGACGAUGACCCG